AUCCCAUGAUGAGGACAGGCGAGUAUAUAUUCUUACAGUCUCUCCCAAGCUUCUGGGAUUCCAUCCCUGUCUGCUGGAAACUUAAAAUUCUUCCACGCAGGGU
Panicum virgatum (switchgrass) is the source of this 103-nucleotide small nucleolar RNA. NCBI's taxonomy places the organism in Eukaryota, Viridiplantae, Streptophyta, Magnoliopsida, Poales, Poaceae. The record is from RefSeq and is a predicted model, not a curated record.